GGAAAGAAUGCCCAUUACUCUCUAGGGAGAAGAAAGGAUCAGGCUGACCUUGUGGGUAAACCUUUGCACCAGUUUAACGUACUGUCUUCAUGGUUUCUCCUGGUGAGUGUACAGUUGGCACUGGUGUUAUACACAAAUGUGCUGUGUGUUCAUAAACACCAAAGGGAGUUAUACCAAUCAGGAAUUGCAGCAUAUAGAGAUGUGCUCUUAUCUUCAGGACCCCAGAAUCCUAGUGACUUUGAGCUAAACAUGUUUGGUUGUUCAUUUUGCUGUAUGGAACAUGUGUCCAAGAGAGGCAGUGUCCACCUGAAGUGCCCCUAUAGGGGUGUUGAAUUUGUUACCUCCUUGAUGUGGCUAAGAAGUAAGUAUGCUCCUUUUGAAAAGCAGUUCCUAGCUUGCUACUGGGUUUUCAUCAAAACUGAACACCUCACAAUACCUAAACUAUGGAACCAACACAGAUACCCUCAACAGAUGAAUGGAUAAAUAAAACAUGGUAUAUAUGCACAAUGGGAUAUUAAUCAGCCUUAAAGAAGAAUGAAUUUGGCAUUUGCAGGUAAAUGGAUAGAGCUGGAGAAUAUCAUGCUUAAGUGAAAUAAGCCUAUCACAAAAAAUAUAAAGGCCCAAUGUUUUCUCUAAUAUGCAGAUGCUAAUUCACAAUGUGGGGUGGCUAGGGGAAAAUAGAGGUACUUUGCAUUAGAGGUGAGCGAAGGGAGGGUAGGAAAGAUAGUAGAAUGAAUCAGACAUUAUUACCUUAUAUGCAUAUUAUGAUUAUACAACCAGUGUAAUUCUACAUUAUGUACAACCAGAAGAAUGAGAUGUUAUGCUCCAUUUAUGUAUGAUGUGUCAAAAUGCAUUCUACCGUCAUGUAUAACUAAUUAGAACAAAUAAAAAACUGAACACCAGAGAAAGUAUGUCA
Molecule: long non-coding RNA, 916 nt
Filed under: Ictidomys tridecemlineatus (thirteen-lined ground squirrel)
Lineage: Eukaryota; Metazoa; Chordata; Mammalia; Rodentia; Sciuridae
Description: lncRNA (ENSSTOG00000034737.1)
Source: RNAcentral